Molecule: ribosomal RNA, 497 nt
Filed under: uncultured bacterium
Lineage: Bacteria
Description: partial 16S ribosomal RNA
Rfam family: Bacterial small subunit ribosomal RNA
Source: RNAcentral
GAUGAACGCUGGCGGCGUGCCUAAUACAUGCAAGUCGAGCGAACGGACGAGAAGCUUGCUUCUCUGAUGUUAGCGGCGGACGGGUGAGUAACACGUGGAUAACCUACCUAUAAGACUGGGAUAACUUCGGGAAACCGGAGCUAAUACCGGAUAAUAUUUUGAACCGCAUGGUUCAAAAGUGAAAGACGGUCUUGAUGUCACUUGUAGAUGGAUCCGCGCUGCAUUAGCUAGUUGGUAAGGUAACGGCUUACCAAGGCAACGAUGCAUAGCCGACCUGAGAGGGUGAUCGGCCACACUGGAACUGAGACACGGUCCAGACUCCUACGGGAGGCAGCAGUAGGGAAUCUUCCGCAAUGGGCGAAAGCCUGACGGAGCAACGCCGCGUGAGUGAUGAAGGUCUUCGGAUCGUAAAACUCUGUUAUUAGGGAAGAACAUAUGUGUAAGUAACUGUGCACAUCUUGACGGUACCUAAUCAGAAAGCCACGGCUAACUACGUG